Molecule: ribosomal RNA, 468 nt
Filed under: uncultured bacterium
Lineage: Bacteria
Description: partial 16S ribosomal RNA
Rfam family: Bacterial small subunit ribosomal RNA
Source: RNAcentral
GUCGAACGCUGGCGGCGUGCUUAACACAUGCAAGUCGAACGGAAAGGCCCUGCUUUUGCGGGGUGUUCGAGUGGCGAACGGGUGAGUAACAUGUGAGUCACCUGCCCUUGACUUGGGGAUAACUUCAGGAACCUGGGGCUAACACCGGCUAGGAGCUCCUGCUGCAUGGUGGGGGUUGGAAAGUUUCGGCGGUUGGGGAUGGACUCGCGGCUUAUCAGCUUGUUGGUGGAGUAGUGGCUUACCGAGGCUUUGACGGGUAGCCGGCCUGAGAGGGUGACCGGCCACAUUGGGACUGAGAUACGGCCCAGACUCCUACGUGAGGCAGCAGUGGGAAAUAUUGCACAAUGGGCGGAAGCCUGAUGCAACAACGCCGCGUGCGGGAUGACGGCCUUCGGGUUGUAAACCGCUUUCGCCUGUGACGAAGCGUGAGUGACGGUAAUGGGUAAAGAAGCACCGGCUAACUACGUG